GUAGGGGGCAAGCGUUGUCCGGAUUUAUUGGGCGUAAAGAGCGUGUAGGCGGCCAGACAGGUCCGUUGUGAAAACUGGAGGCUCAACCUCCAGAGGUCGAUGGAAACCGUCUGGCUAGAGUCCGGAAGAGGAGAGUGGAAUUCCUGGUGUAGCGGUGAAAUGCGCAGAUAUCAGGAAGAACACCCGUGGCGAAAGCGGCUCUCUGGGACGGUACUGACGCUGAGACGCGAAAGCGUGGGGAGCGAACAGGAUUAGAUACCCUGGUAGUCCACGCCGUAAACGAUGGGCGCUAGGUGUGGGAGGUGUCGACUCCUCCCGUGCCGCAGUUAACGCAUUAAGCGCCCCGCCUGGGGAGUACGGCCGCAAGGCUAAA
RNAcentral lists this ribosomal RNA (373 nucleotides) under uncultured bacterium. RNAcentral's name for it is "bacterial SSU rRNA". It matches the Rfam family "Bacterial small subunit ribosomal RNA", at positions 527 to 898 of the family's 1533-position model. The record is from RNAcentral.